GCCCCGGUGGCUCAGUCGGUUGAGUGUCUGACUUCAGCUCAGGUCAUGAUCUCACAGUCCGUGAGUUCGAGCCCCACGUCGGGCU
Molecule: transfer RNA, 85 nt
Filed under: Felis catus (domestic cat)
Lineage: Eukaryota; Metazoa; Chordata; Mammalia; Carnivora; Felidae
Rfam family: tRNA
About the family: Transfer RNA (tRNA) molecules are approximately 80 nucleotides in length.
Source: Rfam by way of RNAcentral